ACAUCCAGCGAACUUGGCAGAGAUGCCUUGGUGCCUUCGGGAACGCUGAGACAGGUGCUGCAUGGCUGUCGUCAGCUCGUGUUGUGAAAUGUUGGGUUAAGUCCCGNAACGAGCGCAACCCUUAUCCUUUGUUGCCAGCGAUUCGGUCGGGAACUCAAAGGAGACUGCCGGUGAUAAACCGGAGGAAGGUGGGGAUGACGUCAAGUCAUCAUGGCCCUUACGAGUAGGGCUACACACGUGCUACAAUGGCGCAUACAAAGAGAAGCGACCUCGCGAGAGCAAGCGGACCUCAUAAAGUGCGUCGUAGUCCGGAUCGGAGUCUGCAACUCGACUCCGUGAAGUCGGAAUCGCUAGUAAUCGCGGAUCAGAAUGCCACGGUGAAUACGUUCCCGGGCCUUGUACACACCGCCCGUCACACCAUGGGAGUGGGUUGCAAAAGAAGUAGGUAGCUUAACCUUCGGGAGGGCGCUUACCACUUUGUGAUUCAUGACUGGGGUGAAGUCGUAACAAGGUAGGCGUAGCGAG
This 525-nucleotide ribosomal RNA is filed under the name uncultured bacterium. Its description in RNAcentral is "bacterial SSU rRNA". It matches the Rfam family "Bacterial small subunit ribosomal RNA", at positions 984 to 1509 of the family's 1533-position model. The record is from RNAcentral.